This 250-nucleotide ribosomal RNA is filed under the name uncultured bacterium. RNAcentral's name for it is "partial 16S ribosomal RNA". It matches the Rfam family "Bacterial small subunit ribosomal RNA", at positions 524 to 773 of the family's 1533-position model. The record is from RNAcentral.
GACGGAGGGUGCAAACGUUGUUCGGAAUCACUGGGCAUAAAGCGCACGUAGGCGGCUAAGUCAGUUCGGUGUGAAAGCCCCCGGCUCAACCGGGGAACUGCAUUGAAUACUGCUUAGCUUGAGGACGGUUGGGGUGAGUGGAACUCCUGGUGGAGCGGUGAAAUGCGUAGAUAUCAGGAGGAACACCAGUGGCGAAAGCGGCUCACUGGACCGUAACUGACGCUGAGGUGCGAAAGCUAGGGUAGCGAAC